Molecule: microRNA, 22 nt
Filed under: Picea abies (Norway spruce)
Lineage: Eukaryota; Viridiplantae; Streptophyta; Pinopsida; Pinales; Pinaceae
Description: pab-miR482l
Gene: pab-miR482l
Source: miRBase by way of RNAcentral
UUUUUCCUACACCUCCCAACCC